AAUUCUAAGAGAAAUAUGUCGCUUGGAGAAAGCCCUUUAAUUUAAAAAAAACAGUAUAUAUUUUGCUAAUAGUUACAGUAAAAACAGAUAAAACCAAGAGAACAUGGCCAUCAUUGUUCAAGGCCUCAUACUCUCUGAUGCAAAAAGGGUACAUGUGCAGGAUGUGCAGGUUUGUUACAUAGGUGAACGUGUGCCAUGGUGGUUUGCUGCACCUAUCAACCCAUCACCUAGCCUAAACAGUGACAGAACCAAGCUUUCAGCACUUCACCUUUCUAUGCUUCCAGUGAAAAUGGUGAUAAAGUGAAGGACAUGCUCCAGGGAAUCUGCUGAUGUCUCCAAAAUGUCAUCGGCAAAGCGGCGGAGAAAAAUGAGAAAAUCACCCAGGUUAUCUGCAAAAAAUUCUGAAAAAGAAAAUAUUCACUGGAAUUAGCCAAACAUCUGUAUAUCUGUACUAAUAAACAACAUUUAAAUUCCUUUCACCCUACUUAAUGAAGGUUAAAAAAAACCCUAAAUGUUUUGUUGGUACUAGAGAUGGUCGUUAAGUCAAUAAAUGUAAAAUCUCCUUUAAAUGU
RNAcentral lists this long non-coding RNA (572 nucleotides) under Homo sapiens (human). Its description in RNAcentral is "non-protein coding lnc-CD3D-6:1". The record is from RNAcentral. Lineage: Eukaryota; Metazoa; Chordata; Mammalia; Primates; Hominidae.